GGGGCCAAUGGAUAGUUCCGCAGUAGAUAAGCUGCUUGAUUUCUUAUUUCAAGUUCCCACUCUAAAGUACAUCGAUUUCAGUAUACGCCAAUUUCUUACUCUUAAGCAAGGUUAUCAGACUCUCGAGAGGAUGUAUGAAGAAGAGGACUAUUUACUGUUGAGUGAUGUCUUAGCUUCUCACUUCAAGAAGAGAUGGUUGUCUGCAAAACAGUCUCUCGAGAGGGUGUAUGAAGAAGAGGACUAUUUACUGUUGAGUGAUGUCUUAGCUUCUCACUUCAAGAAGAGAUGGUUGUCUGCAAAACAUAAGCGUAAAUCUGCUGCUGGAGAUGAG
Molecule: long non-coding RNA, 331 nt
Filed under: Nicotiana benthamiana
Lineage: Eukaryota; Viridiplantae; Streptophyta; Magnoliopsida; Solanales; Solanaceae
Description: long non-coding RNA (NBEN_LNC030980)
Source: RNAcentral